UACGGAGGGGGCUAGCGUUGUUCGGAAUUACUGGGCGUAAAGCGCGCGUAGGCGGCCACUUAAGUCGGAUGUGAAAGCCCCUGGCUCAACUGGGGAAGUGCACCCGAAACUGAAUGGCUUGAGUGCGAAAGAGGGUCGCGGAAUUCCCGGUGUAGAGGUGAAAUUCGUAGAUAUCGGGAGGAACACCGGUGGCGAAGGCGGCGACCUGGGUCGACACUGACGCUGAGGCGCGAAAGCGUGGGGAGCAAACAGG
Molecule: ribosomal RNA, 253 nt
Filed under: uncultured bacterium
Lineage: Bacteria
Description: partial 16S ribosomal RNA
Rfam family: Bacterial small subunit ribosomal RNA
Source: RNAcentral